CCCUUAGAUGUCCUGGGCUGCACGCGCGCUACACUGAUGUGUCCAGUAAGCACCUAACCUAUUCCGAGAGGAGCGGGUAACCUUAGCAAAGCACAUCGUGAUGGGGAUAGAUUAUUGCAAUUAUUAGUCUUGAACGAGGAAUUCCUAGUAAGCACAAGUCAUCAGCUUGUGUUGAUUACGUCCCUGCCCUUUGUACACACCGCCCGUCACUCCUACCGAUUGAAUGUUCCGGUGAGCUCUUCGGACUGCGCGGUCUGCAGUUUCUGCGUUCCGUGCGGAAAGUUGUGCAAACCUUAACAUUUAGAGGAAGGAGAAGUCGUAACA
RNAcentral lists this ribosomal RNA (324 nucleotides) under uncultured eukaryote. RNAcentral's name for it is "partial 18S ribosomal RNA". It matches the Rfam family "Eukaryotic small subunit ribosomal RNA", at positions 1470 to 1796 of the family's 1831-position model. The record is from RNAcentral.